This 422-nucleotide long non-coding RNA is filed under the name Setaria italica (foxtail millet). RNAcentral describes it as "long non-coding RNA (SITA_LNC004600)". The record is from RNAcentral. Lineage: Eukaryota; Viridiplantae; Streptophyta; Magnoliopsida; Poales; Poaceae.
CAAGUACUAGGGUCCGGAGACCUGCCUCAGAAUACUCAUUGAUGUGACACUUCGUUUUGCUCAGACAAGCUUUUCCAUUAUCUUUGGAGAGCCUUUCGAAUAUUACACUGAAGCACAAAGAUGAAAAGACAAAGGUACACAUUUCAACAGAACUUGGAGAAAGAAAAUAUUAGCAUGUGAAAUUCACAACUUCAAAUGGUAGAGUUUAAUAUGCUGACAACUUUAAGGUUAAUACUAUCGUGAUAUGGACAUGAAAUAAGCUUAUAAGUUACAAACAGUAAAUACAGAGUCAAACAUAUAAUAUUUCCAUCACAUGUAAAAAAGAUUAUCAAACCUGUCAGCUCCUUUGCAGAACAGGAAUAACCGACCCACUUCUGUCCUCACAAUAACAGACAUACGCUUACGAGCACUGCUGAACUCUA